RNAcentral lists this long non-coding RNA (890 nucleotides) under Marmota monax (woodchuck). The record is from RNAcentral. Lineage: Eukaryota; Metazoa; Chordata; Mammalia; Rodentia; Sciuridae.
GCACGUGUUUCUGUACUUGGCCUCUGUUCAGAUGAAAAGUGACGUUCUGUGAAGUAGCAGGAAGCAUCAUCCACCCUCGCUGGGCCUCAGUUUCCUCCCCUGACUUGUGAUCAUCCAGUUGGAACCCGGGGCUCCUCACCACCUCUCACACAUCCCCUUUCAUCUCUUCCACCGUACACAAAGGCUCUUUCCUGCAUUCUGAGGGAAAGAGUAGCUAAGUUCUUUGUGGUCUCUGAGGAGGACAGAUGCACCUGAACAGGAUGUAAGAACGCUUGCUCUGUGCAGAAAGAGAAUGCUGACUGCCUUAGCACUUUAUACGAACACAAGGAAGAAAUUGAGUUAGUUAAUCUGAAAUAUAAGACACAACAAGAUCACAUUAUCAACUUAUGAAUAUGUUUAUGUGAUUGAUUCAUGCUCAAGAAAUUUAACAGGUCGACAACGAGACUCACUUCUCCCUACAGAAGAGGACAGAGCCCAAGAAAAACCCCAACACAGUUUUCCUAACCAAAGUGAUCAGACAGUGUAGGACAUGGGCACAAACCAGACACGGAUUCCUGGCCAAGAUGGAAAAGUUGGCCAAAAUGGAAAUAGACCGCUUGGCCAGUGUCCAGGGACAAGCAUGGCCUACUCUGUCAUGGACAAAAGGGCACAUGACAGUAGGGAGCUAGGUCAGACAUUAUAUCCAAGUUAAGCGGCAGGUACAUGACAAUAAUAAUCAACUAAAAUCCUAAUCAAGAUCCAGGAUGGUGCCAAUGUGCCAAGAAAAGCCUAGUCCAACUCUGACAUGAACCUGCCCAAUAGACAAAACUCACCAAAUGAAGACCAGGAACAACACCAAAGUAAGUUUCUUACCAAAUAGGGGAGACUCCUACCCCCGUGUUUAGGAGUAG